Molecule: ribosomal RNA, 253 nt
Filed under: uncultured bacterium
Lineage: Bacteria
Description: partial 16S ribosomal RNA
Rfam family: Bacterial small subunit ribosomal RNA
Source: RNAcentral
UAUGAACUGUGCAAACGCUAUUCGGAAUCACUGGGCUUAAAGGGUGCGUAGGCGGCUUGUUAAGUAGGGUGUGAAAGCCCCCGGCUCAACCGGGGAAUUGCGCCCUAAACUGGCGAGCUUGAGCGAGAUAGGGGUGUGCGGAACUUCCGGUGGAGCGGUGAAAUGUGUUGAUAUCGGAAGGAACGCCGGUGGCGAAAGCGGCACACUGGGCCUCAACUGACGCUGAGGCACGAAAGCCAGGGGAGCAAACGGG